RNAcentral lists this ribosomal RNA (467 nucleotides) under uncultured bacterium. RNAcentral's name for it is "partial 16S ribosomal RNA". It matches the Rfam family "Bacterial small subunit ribosomal RNA", at positions 29 to 507 of the family's 1533-position model. The record is from RNAcentral.
ACGCACGCUGGCGGCUUGCUUAACACCUGCAAGUCGAACGGAAAGGCCCUGCUUUUGUGGGGUGCUCGAGUGGCGAACGGGUGAGUAACACGUGAGUAACCUGCCCUUGACUUUGGGAUAACUUCAGGAAACUGGGGCUAAUACCGGAUAGGAGCUCCUGCUGCAUGGUGGGGGUUGGAAAGUUUCGGCGGUUGGGGAUGGACUCGCGGCUUAUCAGCUUGUUGGUGGGGUAGUGGCUUACCAAGGCUUUGACGGGUAGCCGGCCUGAGAGGGUGACCGGCCACAUUGGGACUGAGAUACGGCCCAGACUCCUACGGGAGGCAGCAGUGGGGAAUAUUGCACAAUGGGCGGAAGCCUGAUGCAGCAACGCCGCGUGCGGGAUGACGGCCUUCGGGUUGUAAACCGCUUUCGCCUGUGACGAAGCGUGAGUGACGGUAAUGGGUAAAGAAGCACCGGCUAACUACGUG